CCCAAAAAUAUUCUGCAUAACAGCGUGUUUAUCAGGAGCUUACGGUCAAAUGCCUUUCUCCUUACUUGUAUACCGGUUCCGCUCCUCUUCGGAGGCAGGCAUAUCCCUUAUGCGUGCGUCAUGCGAUAGAAAACGAGACGAUAAGAAAUAGAGCGUGCACUUGCAUGCAUUACCCAGUCCGACGAAUAAAUGGCGGCGUAUACAACGGUGGACGAAAUGAGCGAUGAAUCACGCAUGGUGAGUUUAAGGAGAGGAUUUUUACAAAGCGCAAACGACAAUGGAAUAUCUAUCUUCCAGGAAGUAUACGCC
Molecule: long non-coding RNA, 309 nt
Organism: Trachymyrmex septentrionalis
Lineage: Eukaryota; Metazoa; Arthropoda; Insecta; Hymenoptera; Formicidae
Exons: 3
Source: RefSeq, a predicted model, not a curated record